Molecule: ribosomal RNA, 253 nt
Filed under: uncultured bacterium
Lineage: Bacteria
Description: partial 16S ribosomal RNA
Rfam family: Bacterial small subunit ribosomal RNA
Source: RNAcentral
UACGAAGGUCCCAAGCGUUGUUCGGAAUCACUGGGCGUAAAGGGAGCGUAGGCGGCGUGGUAAGUCAGAUGUGAAAUCCCGGGGCUCAACCCCGGAACUGCAUCCGAUACUGCCAUGCUAGAGGAUUGGAGAGGUAGCUGGAAUUCUUGGUGUAGCAUUGAAAUGCGUAGAGAUCAAGAGGAACACUCGUGGCGAAAGCGAGCUACUGGACAAUUCCUGACGCUGAGGCUCGAAGGCUAGGGUAGCGAAAGGG